Non-coding RNA from Acanthosepion pharaonis, 116 nucleotides. The record is from the annotation of a GenBank genome assembly. NCBI's taxonomy places the organism in Eukaryota, Metazoa, Mollusca, Cephalopoda, Sepiida, Sepiidae.
UUACGGCCAUAUAUCACAUUGUAACACAGGUUUCCGUAUGAUCACCGAAGUUAAGCAACGUCGAGACUGGUCGGAACAUAGAUGGGGGACCGAUUGGAAAUACCAGGUGCUGUAAG